Molecule: ribosomal RNA, 270 nt
Filed under: uncultured bacterium
Lineage: Bacteria
Description: partial 16S ribosomal RNA
Rfam family: Bacterial small subunit ribosomal RNA
Source: RNAcentral
GACGAACGCUGGCGGCGUGCUUAACACAUGCAAGUCGAACGGAUCAUCGCUUUCGGGUGGUGGUGAGUGGCGAACGGGUGAGUAACACGUGGGUAACCUGCCCCAGGCUCUGGGAUAACUCCGGGAAACCGGGGCUAAUACCGGAUACGACUCCUGCCCGCAUGGGCUGGGGGUGGAAAGUUUUUCGGUCUGGGAUGGGCCCGCGGCCUAUCAGCUUGUUGGUGGGGUGAUGGCCUACCAAGGCGGUGACGGGUAGCCGGCCUGAGAGGG